This is a microRNA precursor of Oryza sativa Japonica Group (Japanese rice), 205 nucleotides long. It matches the Rfam family "MIR812 microRNA precursor family". The record is from Rfam. Lineage: Eukaryota; Viridiplantae; Streptophyta; Magnoliopsida; Poales; Poaceae.
AAUAAGCGCAGUCAUACGUUUCCGCGUCCAACUUUGAUCGUCCGUCUUAUUUGAAAUUUUUUUAUAAUUAGUAUUUUUGUUGUUAUGAGAUAAUAAAAUAUGAAUAGUACUUUACUCGUGACUUAUGUUUUUAAUUUUUUUUAAAAAAAAUUCAAAUAAGACGAACGGUUAAAGUUGGACGCGGAAAACUAUAGCUCCACUUAUU